Molecule: ribosomal RNA, 468 nt
Filed under: uncultured bacterium
Lineage: Bacteria
Description: partial 16S ribosomal RNA
Rfam family: Bacterial small subunit ribosomal RNA
Source: RNAcentral
GACGAACGCUGGCGGCGUGCUUAACACAUGCAAGUCGAACGGAAAGGCCCUGCUUUUGUGGGGUGCUCGAGUGGCGAACGGGUGAGUAACACGUGAGUAACCUGCCCUUGACUUUGGGAUAACUUCAGGAAACUGGGGCUAAUACCGGAUAGGAGCUCCUGCUGCAUGGUGGGGGUUGGAAAGUUUCGGCGGUUGGGGAUGGACUCGCGGCUUAUCAGCUUGUUGGUGGGGUAGUGGCUUACCAAGGCUUUGACGGGUAGCCGGCCUGAGAGGGUGACCGGCCACAUUGGGACUGAGAUACGGCCCAGACUCCUACGGGAGGCAGCAGUGGGGAAUAUUGCGCAAUGGGCGGAGGCCUGAUGCAGCAACGCCGCGUGCGGGAUGACGGCCUUCGGGUUGUAAACCGCUUUCGCCUGUGACGAAGCGUGAGUGACGGUAAUGGGUAAAGAAGCACCGGCUAACUACGUG